UCAUCCAAGAAUGGAAAGUAACCGCUUCUCCAAUCUCGAUUGCUUUUAGUUGCUGUUGAUCGAGGUCGUCGAGAUGCUUCCCUUCCGUCUCUUGCCUCUCUCGCGCUCCCGCGCUUCCAGCCCUCCACCACCACAACCGCUCGCUCUCCCGCCGGCGCUCUCCACCACCACCGCUGCUCGCUCUCCAGCCGGCGACCUCCACGACUACCGUCGUGUCCUGAAGUGAAUGGCAAUUUGCGAGCGAGGGUUUUAAUCGAGGAGUCUCGAUUCGUCUCAAGCUGCAUUAUCUACGACUCUAAAUAUUGUAAGCUACCUUGAGGGUUUUCUCCCCAAAACUUCAAGAUCGGUGGUUUAAUGGAGUUGAAGUUUUAAUUGGUUGCUAAAGGUGGAUGUUACUUGUUAGAUGGAUGCUGCAGCUUCCAAUAAAAGUACAUUAAAAAAAGGAGGUCGAGUAUCUAGAGCUUGAGGAACAAGCUUUCUUGUACGUUUGGAUGCUCUGAGUCAAACAUUGUUUUACACAGUGGGCACAACAGAGCCGCAUGCAAGGCAUUGUUUGAUCGACGCUGCAUUCCUUAUUCAUUACCGAAUGCUUUGAUGCUUGGUUGAGAAGUAGGGGGAUCUUAUAAGGUCGUGCAUCUUGGAACUCUUGGAUGAGAAUGAACACCUUGUGUGCCCACAGGUAAUCUUCUAUCGCUACUUUCUACAGGAACGAGAUUGAGUUGCGUGCACCCAACAUAUGCACGAAAGAAUUUUUGAAAUCUUUCUAUAAAGUAGAGGACAUUUCAGACUUUUUCUUUUUUAAAUACUUUUUUACCCUUAUUAAAAAGUGUUUUUUUUUACUUUUAAUGGGCAUUUUGGUCAUUGCAUACCCCACAGGGGUGACUAGGUUGACUGAAUUUUCCCAGCCUACCAUUUUCUUUUUCUAGAUUUUGUAAAUUUAGCACUUUAGGUAGCUUUGAAACUGUUUUGAAGAUGAUCAAAAGCGACAUGAGUAGUUGUGGACUGCAAAUGAAAGGGAACAGAUCAAAUCUCAGUCAGCAUUCUGCUACUCGAGAAAGUGCUGAUAGUACUACUACUAACUUUUGAUUUAAGGAUCAGUAAGUAGCUCAACCAUUUUAGGUGCCCAAAAUGAACCUUCUAAUUAGUAAAAAGCAUCGAAUCCAUCUAAAUCUUGUUUGAUGGCACACGGACCGCAGCGACCACAGCUCAUCUUUCCGUUAGGGUAUAUGUGGUUUACUUCGGCGCUCUUUUCAUGAGGCAAGUCCAUUCUGGCCAAAGGUUCGUUCAUCAGAGAUAAUUAUAGGUCAGCUCGUCGUCUCGUUCACAAAGUCUGAAUGUGGUUUAGACAAGUUAACGGGUCAUGAACUUCAGAUAAUCGUAGAGCAGUCCUGUUUACUAGGCCUACGAGCAUAUUGCUGAAGCAUCUUUUGAGGAAGUGAAAGGUCUAUACAAUAUCUAAAUAUUUGUUAAAUAUGAAGCCCAAAAAAUUUGAAAAAAAAAAUCGUCUUUUUAAAAGAUUCUAAAACAAAAAUAAGGCAAACAAAAAAUGUUUUUUUAGUGUUGUUUUGGCGUCUUUGGCAUUUUUUAUUUUUAAAAGUUUUGCCGAUAUGUUUUGGAGAUUUAUGUGAGAUAAAUAACCUUGGCAUAUUAUUAGAGAAAAGCCUUUUAAAUGUCGUAAAUUGUAUUUGUGAGAAUGGGUUAAAUUGCAAAUUGUGAGAAGCAUCUUUGUCCCGGAGAGUCGUUGUCUACUUUCUCAAACUUGCCAAAAUGAGAGAAAGAGUAAUGUUUUUAUAGGGAUCGCUUCUUUUCCCAACCAUGGGUAUAUGUUUUGUGGGUAUGCCAAAUUUCUAAAAAAAUGGAAUUGUAUGUUAUAAUACUCUAUUCUGAUUUGGUCUUAAUAUAGUUCUCAUAUUAAUUAAUCAGUAUUACCUUGACAAUGUUUUGGUUGUGUAACAAAGUACACAAAAAUCCGAACUUGGACUCUAGAGCUUCAUUUGUGUUAAGGGAAUGUUUGAUGACGAAUUAUUUUAAACUCACAAAUUUUAGGUGGCUAAAGAUGGAUUGUGGUGCAUCAAGCUAAGGAUCUUAGGCUAUAUGUUAUUAUUUUAUAUUGGCAAACUUAAUGUAAGGCAGAAGAAGAAAAUUCUGAUCUUAAAUUCAUUUAUCUCGCAUCUAAAUCAUGUGGUUCCAAUUAGAUGUAAGUUUGAUUUAUCAUGUUUCCCAUUGGGGUUUCUUGAAUAAUCCCAGUUUAGACUUGGACUACAAUUAAAUUUCGUUGAAACAAAAUGAUGUAAGAUAUUGAGAUCAGCCGGCUGCAGGAUGUUACCAGAUGCAUACUUCGGGUCAUGAAUUGAGAUCUACUACCAUGCAUGUUUCAUUAUAGUGUUAGAACUCAUGUUCCACAUGAUAACCAUCAAAUUUUCAAGAGAAAAUUGAAAGAUUUAAACGUAUGCAUAUGAUGGAUCUACCGAGCACGGCGAGCAGCCAAAUUAACUGGGGAGGGAAAAAGGAAAGGGAAAUUAAGAUAACAUCCGAAGUGAUAUAAGAUUUUGGCAUGACAUAUCCUAAAACUUUAAACCCACAAUCGUUAACAAAAAGCUGAGAAUCUAAGAACAUCUAUCUGAAAGGUGUGAGGAUUUCCACGUGCUUUUGCAAUCCUUAAAUCAUAAGCCGCAUUCGCGUCUCCUUAAUUUUCCAACUUCGGUCCUUCUUAAAGGUGUAUGAGUUUGAAGUUAAUUUGAUCUUAAAUCUGCAGCUUGCCAGAACUUUGAUCUGUAGGUGAGAUCCAUGUUAAAUAAAGAACCCAAAUCUUAGAUCUUGGAUAAUCAAACGCUACUUAAAGGUUCACAAAAUCUUGGCUCCGGUUUAGUCCUUGUGUUCCUCAAGGCAGCAACACAUCUUAAUAUCAUCGUCACAAAAAAUGAGUUUCUUUUGAAAAAAAAAAACAAAGACAAAUGUUUAAGACUUUAGAAAAAUACCGUUUUUCUAAGAAACGCCAAAACAAGAAAAAUGUGUAAAAAGCGUGUUUUUUUUACGAUUUUUCCUUUUUUUCCUUUUAUUAAUUUUUUUCAUAUUUUUUAAUGCGAAACUGCUUGUUUUCAUUUUUAAUCUUUUAUUUGUUGCAGGCCUACUUAUUUUUUUAUGUUUGUGUUAUCAGUUUCUCAAUUAUUUAAUUUGUAAAUAUUUUAGUUUUAUUAUCUUUUAAAAAAUUAAUCGUAUUUCUUUUUUCAGUUUUUUCAUGCUCCCCAUAUUAUACUUACAAAAAACGUCGUCUCAUCAUUUAAAAUGUGAGAAAUUUUUUUUGUAACUAUGCUUAGCUUAACAUAGACUUAGUAUCCUGGCCUUUCUGCUGUUGACUCUUACAAAGAUUUGUUAUGUGAUUCCGGUUCCCUAAACUCUAAAUAACGAAUUUGAUUGAAUCUGUCUCUGAUUGCUAUGCUUUGGUAAAAGAUCCUUCACUGAUAUUCUCAAGUGCUUGGCUGUUAAAUAUUUUCUGGAAGCUGUUGUUCCUUAGCAUGUAUCAAUUGUAAUAGCUGGAGAUGUGUUGCUUCACUACUUAUUCAGAACCUUCACAUCAUAUGCCAUGCAAGGGCGAACAGAAAAUUCUGGUUAAGGGGCAUUAGGUAUAACUUUAAAUUUUUAAAGAAGCACCAAUAUGUAAACAAGAAAAAUUAUUCAAAAAUAUCAAAUAUAAAAAUAAAAGUUUUUUAGGGUCUGUGUGGGCAAUCUCAGUUGCCAUUUGCCAACAGCUGACUCACACUUGCCUCUGCCCCUGAUGCCAUGGUGGCUAUCCCUUAGUUAGGGGCGUUUUAUGUGUUUCCCUUUUUCCCCGAACGGCUGGGACGAAGCUUGGGCAGCUAGUAGAUUUCUUUGGGCACCUUAGGGCAGAUAUUGCUGGUUGAUACUUUGAACAAUCCUACAUUAAAUGUGGUCAUUUUUGUUGUCUUGGUGUGAAGAAUUAAUGCACCAUGCUAGGUAGAUAUUAUAAAGUUACGUCUAUGCCUGUGUGGUCGUAAUGUGCCAAGAAAGGUUCAUGUUAGUUUGAUUUUCUUGUCAACAUAUUUGAUGCAUUCUCUUUCAUUUUCUGCAGAUACAGAGUCUUAUUGGUAUAAAUAUGGAGCGCCUUUAUUACAUAUUACACACAUUCAAUGUGAUUUGGCUUGUUACCAGGAACUUUGUCAUGCUCAUGCAGCUUCUCUUAAUGCACAGCCUUCAUUAGUAGCAAAAAAAAAAAAGAAAAGUCGCUGUAGAAAAUUAACAUUCUCUGUGUAAUGGAGGUCAUCUUUAGGUUAAUAUCUGCUUUAUCAUUUGUUUUCUUAAGCCGCUUCUUCUUUUCUUGAUCUGCUUAACUUUUUUGUUUACAAAAGAAGGAUCUUUUGGAGAGGGGCUUGGUUUCAGUUUCCUUAAUCAGCUCCAUGCAGCAAGAAUGUGGGGCUUAGAGAAAGGAAGAAAAGCACUCCAUUCUGCGGGCAUGAACCGAAUGAAGAUCAUUUCCUGUUUGCAAGUAUUUGUUUUGUUUGUUGGCAGUCAUCCAUUGGAAGGUAGAACAAUCCCUUUGAGUGUUCUUGCCCAGAGAACUACGCUUUCACAGAGGACGUGGAAGACCUGCUAAUGGAAAGUCUUAUCUACAAGUUACUCAGCUGCUUUCUUGGUUUCGUGUGGCUUCCGCCCACCUUUAUGUGAAAUGUGGAAAUGGUGGUUGAUUUCAUGAUAAAUGUUCACUAACCACUAGGAACUAGGAUCUCUCUCUCUCUCUCUCCCUCCGUCGAUGCCAAGAGGCAAGUCUGCAUUAAGUUUUUUCAGCCUUCCAGGAAGAAGAGACACUCUUGUGCGGGAUUUUUCUUUAUGAUAUGUUUUGGAAGAUCUUGUUUCUCUGUCA
Nymphaea colorata (pocket water lily) is the source of this 4879-nucleotide long non-coding RNA. RefSeq lists it as uncharacterized. The record is from RefSeq and is a predicted model, not a curated record. The transcript is spliced from 5 exons. Lineage: Eukaryota; Viridiplantae; Streptophyta; Magnoliopsida; Nymphaeales; Nymphaeaceae.